RNAcentral lists this ribosomal RNA (732 nucleotides) under uncultured marine eukaryote. RNAcentral describes it as "SSU rRNA". It matches the Rfam family "Eukaryotic small subunit ribosomal RNA", at positions 437 to 1185 of the family's 1831-position model. The record is from RNAcentral.
CAAAUUACCCAAUCCCGACACGGGGAGGUAGUGACAAUAAAUACUGAUACAGGGCUCUUUUGGUCUUGUAAUUGGAAUGAGUACAAUUUAAAUCCCUUAACGAGGAACAAUUGGAGGGCAAGUCUGGUGCCAGCAGCCGCGGUAAUUCCAGCUCCAAUAGCGUAUAUUAAAGUUGUUGCAGUUAAAAAGCUCGUAGUUGAACCUUGGGCCUGGCUGGCCGGUCCGCCUCACCGCGUGUACUGGUCCGGCCGGGCCUUUCCUUCUGGGGAACCUCAUGCCCUUCACUGGGCGUGUUGGGGAACCAGGACUUUUACUUUGAAAAAAUUAGAGUGUUCAAAGCAGGCCUUUGCUCGAAUACAUUAGCAUGGAAUAAUAGAAUAGGACGUGUGGUUCUAUUUUGUUGGUUUCUAGGACCGCCGUAAUGAUUAAUAGGGAUAGUCGGGGGCAUCAGUAUUCAAUCGUCAGAGGUGAAAUUCUUGGAUUGAUUGAAGACUAACUACUGCGAAAGCAUUUGCCAAGGAUGUUUUCAUUAAUCAGUGAACGAACGAAGACGAUCAGAUACCGUCGUAGUCUUAACCAUAAACUAUGCCGACUAGGGAUCGGACGGUGUUAGUAUUUUGACCCGUUCGGCACCUUACGAGAAAUCAAAGUUUUUGGGUUCUGGGGGGAGUAUGGUCGCAAGGCUGAAACUUAAAGAAAUUGACGGAAGGGCACCACCAGGCGUGGAGCCUG